ACACAACAAAACAAACUGCUCUUCACCUACAUCCUCCCAUCGCUCCCCUGCAGCACACUUGGUUGCAGAUCCCACCGUGCCUGCAGGAGCCAUGCCAGAUUACCAGUCAUGUGGCUGAAAUGUCCCUGGCUGCCAAGGCUGCAUUAAUGCUUUGUCAUUGCACUUGCAGCUAACGAGGCCUAAUGGUCCCUACUUCAAACUGAGUCUUUGGUGAGGGACUUCUAUGCAUUAUUUCUUCACCAGGGCCUCUCUGACCAGUUAAGUGAUAGAUCUGAAAAGCUUGAGGAGGCAGGUGUGUGAGCAGAAAGCAACACACAGCUUUAGUGUUCCUAACUGAGUGGUCCUGCAGCUAGAAGAUGAAGCCAAAGUAGACAAGAAUUCUGCAGACUGCUGAAGGAGAAAGAACAGCUUGGAAGACUGCAAUCCCCAAACACCCCAGAACUAUUUGUGCAGAAGCCCACUCUGACCAGGAGUGGGUCCUCUUGGUGGUCGGUGCUGCAAAGAUUUCAGCAAGAUGUUUCUGUGCAUUGGCCUCCUACAGCUGCCUGAAAACUCCCAGUCUGCUCUGAAGUAGAUAACUACUCAUGAAAACAUUUACAGCAAGUGUAAGGUGAAGGUAGAAGACAAGGCUUUUCAAGUGCACUUAUCAUUGUUCUCAUUACAAGAAGUAAAAGAUAAAGAUAGCUGUAUCUACAUUCUGCACCACUUUUUGUUUGACUUAACUGGCUACCCAACCCCUUUGAAGGCAUCUUUUAUCUUAUUUGUAUGAUAUGAACUGUAAAUGUCUUCCAUGACUUCUGAAUUGUAAAUCCUGCAUCUAUAGUAUCAGAGAGAUCUUACAAGUUGGGUUUUGUUUGUUUGUUUGUUUGUUUUUGUAAUUGUAAUUGGGCCCCUUUUCUUAGGAUGCUGUCAGCUGUAUGCUUAGAAAUGUGCUUAAAAUUAAUGUGCAAAAAAUGAAAAUUUGCAACUGGCACACGAAUAGAUGAAAAUUGCAAACAGAAUAACUGCAUACAUAUAUUUAAGUUGGAAGUUGAAAGUAAAUCUCUGAGGAAAAAAAAUAUGUAAGGCAGCACGAAUGUUACCUUGAUUUGUAAGGUCUUAGUAUACUUUGGUUGGAAUCACACCCCUCAGCUUCUAUAGUCAAGCACAUCCUCAACUUUUUAAGUUGUGAUCAUACUACAGAACUGAAGACUGAUUCAUCUUUGAAACAAAAGUCUUCCAAGGCAAAAGUCUUUUAUCAUAUUAUGAAAUAGCCUUGUGAUAAAAUCUGUAUUAUUUAACCUUGGGUCCACAGCAAUGUCCAGGUCAUUAGUACAAGGUCUAGAAAGAUUAUGAUAGUGAGCAUGUUGUAGACUUCUUUGAAGCAUUCAGUGCCUGCUGAAAUGCCACAGCUCCAGCUCGGAUCCUGCUGCUCCCCUUCCUUGGCUACAUACACUCUGAUAACAGCACCAGUGGGAUUACCUUCAUUUUUACUCACAGUGAUGAGUGACAAAAGAAAAUUGACCUGAAACAGAAGAGGUUGUAAGAGCAGCUUGUUCAUCCCCUGUGUGGAGAGCGGAGCACCUGAACAGGCAGCACUGUAAAUGAUACCUCAGUCCUGCACAAAAUUCCAGUCUCAAAUUCUCUGUUUCCCUGAAGGACCCAUGUCUAUUUUGAAAGAGAAAAAAGUGCCUGUAUGUCUUUUAUUUGCUUACAUAUGGCAAAAAAAGAAAGCUGCAGUGAAUGUUAACUGAUUUAAAAUUUGCUGAAUAGAUGUUCAACUUAUGCUGUUGGAUUUAAUUGUACAAUAAGGUCAGU
Anas platyrhynchos (mallard) is the source of this 1797-nucleotide long non-coding RNA. RefSeq lists it as uncharacterized. The record is from RefSeq and is a predicted model, not a curated record. NCBI's taxonomy places the organism in Eukaryota, Metazoa, Chordata, Aves, Anseriformes, Anatidae.